Long non-coding RNA from Homo sapiens (human), 3792 nucleotides. Ensembl annotates it as MPHOSPH10 pseudogene 1. Its record names the gene MPHOSPH10P1. NCBI's taxonomy places the organism in Eukaryota, Metazoa, Chordata, Mammalia, Primates, Hominidae. The record is from Ensembl.
GCAGUUAGUGAAACAAAGAUGAAGACAUCAGUCUUCUCCCAGAGAGUGAAGAACAGGAGUGUGAAGAGGAUGGUUCAGAGACAGAGACUGGUGGCCAGGAGGACCUAGAAGAUUUACAGGAGGAAGAGGAAGUGUCAGAUAUGGGUGGUGACAAUCCUGAAGUGGGCAAGAAAGCUAGAAACUCAAGCAAAUUUGAGCUGAGGAAAAGCCCAGUUUUCAGUGAUGAGGAUUCUGACCUUGACUUUGAUAUCAGCAAAUUGGAACAGCAGAGCAAGGUGCAAAACACAGGACAUGGAAAACCAAGAGAAAAGUCCAUAAUAGACGAGAAAUUCUUCCAACUCUCUGAAAUGGAGGCUUAUUUAGAAAACAGAGAAAAAGAAGAGGAACGAAAAGAUGAUAAUGAUGAUGAGUCAGGUAAAAGUUCCAGAAAUGUGAACAACAAAGAUUUUUUUGAUCCAGUUGAAAGUGAUGAAGACAUAGCAAGUGAUCAUGAUGAUGAGCUGGGUUCAAACAAGAUGAUGAAAUUGCUGAAGAAGAAGCAGAAGAAGGAAGCAUUUCUGAAAUGUGAGUAUUUUGAAACAUCCUUUACUUUGUGAGCUGGAAUUGCCCAAUCAGUGUUUGUAUUUGUGGUUUUCACAUAUGUUUGUUUUAAGAAGUUAGAUACUCUCCUAUCAGAUCUUCUCAAGAUAGCCAGAGGAAAGUCACUGGAUUUAAACGGACAUUAGAGAUCAUUUAAUGAAGAAAAAUAUUACUGACAGUAGCAAUCAAACCUUUCUUACCAGGAACUUUGAUUUGGUUUUGUGCCCCCAAAAUCCUGUUAUUUUUGUGAGAUAAGAGGUUUGUAUUAUAGAUUGAUGAAUAAUUUAUUUUCUAUAUAUUGGACCCUUUUUGUUUCUUACAUAGCAUUUCACUUAAAUGAUAGCUUCUCUUCCUUAAUACCUGAAUGAUUUUGGAAGUUCUAAGUAUCUGGUUGCAUUAGGCAUAUAAAAGAGGAACUUUGUUAAGGGAAAAUAUGUUUCCUUUUGUUUUUCUAAUGGAAAACAAUAUAUUUCUUUUUAUAAGAGUUUUGGUAGUGUAGGGAUGAAGGUGAUCACCUGGAAGAAAGAGAAGACAGUAAACAAUGUAAAGAAAGCUUGAAAAGAGUGACUUUUGCUUUGCCGGAUGAUGAGGCAACUGAAGAUGCAGGUGUUUUAAAUGUAAAGAAAAAUUCUGAUGAAGUUAAUCUUCUUUUGAAAAAAGACAGGAAAAGGUAAUUAGGAAUUUAAGGAAUUUUUAAUAUGCUUCGCAUGAUUGUGGAACUCACAGACUACUAACAAAUCUUCCCUAUUUUCUUUCUUUUUUUUUUGAGAUGGAGUCUUGCUCUGUCACCCAGGCUGGAGUGCAAUGGCGUGAUCUCGGCUCACUGCAGCCUCCACCUCCCGGGUUCAAGUGAUUCUGCCUCAGCCUCCUGAGUAGCUGAGAUUAAAGGUGCAUUCCACCAUGCCUGGCCAAUUUUUGUAUUUUUAGAAGACAUGGGGUUUCACCGUGUUGGCCAGGCUGAUCUCGAACUCCUGACCUCAGGUGAUCCUCCUGCCUUGGCCUCCCAAAGUGCUGAGAUUACAGGCGUGAGCCACUGUGCCCUAGCCUUCCCUAUUUUUCUUGUUGUAACUAUUAACCAUCCUUUGAAAACAAAUAUCUUGGCCAGGUGUGGUGGUUGAUGCCUGUAAUCCUAGCACUUUGGUAGUCUGAAGCGGGAGGAUCACUUGAGCUCAGGAGUUCAAGACCAGCCUGGGCAACAUAGUGAGGCCCUGUCUCUACAAAAAAUAAAAAAAUUAGUGGGGCAUGGUGGUGUAUGCCUGUAAUCCAGCGACUCAGGUGGCUGAGGCGGGAGGAUCACUUGAGCCCAGGAGGUUGAUGCUGCAGUGAGCUAUGAUCACAUCACUGCUUUCCAGCCUGGGUGGUGGAGCAAGAUCCUGUCUUCAAACAAACAAACAAACAAACAAACAGAAAACUGAAGAUCUUGCUGCUACUCUCUAAAGCAAAAGCACAUCUUAUAGAGAUGCCAUAUGGAAAGCAUCUGAUUUGCAGAAAUCAGUGCCUGCGUUACCCAGCCUAUAGCUUUCAAUUUGGGGCCUGCGUGUAAAAUAGUUGUUUCUUUUCUCUCUCCCUUGUGUCUUUAUAUGUAUAGCCUGUCUCUCCUGACAAAGCUGUCCUGAGAGCCUCUUCUUGUAACUGUUUUGACUGCUCUAGAGGAUACCGCCUAUGUCUUUAAGGUGCUCCACAGAUUUUGGUGAAUGUCAAAUAGCUGUAAUUUUAAUUAAUACCAGGACAAACAUAUCUUCCCAAAGUAUGUCAUGAUUUCAGACAAGUGAAAUCUCAUUAAUUUUAGUAGAUAUAGUCUGGCUCCAAUAAUUUGGCUAUAUUAUUUAUCCAAUCCCAAAAUUUUAUUAUAAUAAAAAUGAGAAUAGUGCCAGGCACAGUAGCUCACACUUGUAAUCCCAGCACUUUGGGAGACUGAGGAGGGAGGAUUGCUUGAGCCCAAGUGUUCAAGACCAGCAUGGACAACACGGUGAAACCCCGUCUCCACUACAAAUUUAAAAAAUUAGCUGGGUGUGGUAGCAUGAGCCUAUAGUCUCUGCUACUCGAGAGGCUUAUCGGGGAUGAUCACUUGAGUCCAGCAGUUCAAGGCUGCAGUGAGCUAUGAUUGGACUAGGCACUCCAGCCUGGGCAACAGAGCUGGAGAACAGGCAAAUAAACUAUACCAAGAAUAUCAAAAGAAUUAUUUUUAAAAUCUGCGAAUCUAAAUUAAAUUCAUCGUUGUCAGAUUGUCCCAAGAAAAUAAAUUCUAAAGGGGGAAAAAAACCAUAAAGUAUCAAUGAGUUAGUGUCCUCCCAUCCCACUCCUCCCACCCUUCCCCCACAAAAAAGAAAGAAAGGUUUGGUUUUGCUUUGAAAUUAUAUCAGACCUUCAAGUGAAAUUUUCAGUAAAUCACAAAUAAUUUAUUGCAAUUUCCACAGAUAAAGAAUAAAAUAGAACUUUCAAACUUUUUUCUUUUCAAACUGUUAGAACAUGAAAACCCAAACCUGACAAAGGUGGCGUUAAAACACACACACUCUCUCAUUCAUGACUAGUGAUGCAAACAUAGCACAGUGGGAAAAUUAUGCCACACAACCACAUGAACCUUAUCCUUUUGAAUCACUAUUAGAAGAUCUGAUAUGAUUCCUGGUUGCAAGACGUUAAGGAGAAAAUACACGGUUCCCUCCAUAUAUGUUAGAAAGACAUUUGAUAAAAUUCAAUAUUUAUUUCUGAUUUUUUUUUAACUCCUAGUGGGUUAUAAAUACAUCUAGCCAAAAGCUGCCAUCAUGCAUGAUGGGUGAAAUUCUACAAACAUCCCUUUAAGAUCAGGAAUAAGACAAAAUGUCCAGUAUUACAGUUACCCCUGUUAAUUAACACUAACAGUUAAUAGCCACAUAAGCCAGUGCAACUACAAAAGAUAAGAGAUUAGGAAAACUUCCAGGAGCAGUGGUUCACACCUGUAAUCCCAGCACUUUGGGAGCUCAGGAGCUCUCAGCACUUGAGCUCAGGAGUUUGAGACCAGCCCAGGCAACAUGGUGAGACCUCAUCUCUGCAAAAAAAUACAAAAUUAGCUGGGCGCGUUACAUGUGCCUGUGUCCCAGCUACUUGGGAGUCUGAAGUGAGAGGACUGCUUGAGCCUGGGAGAUGGAGGUUGCAAUGAGCUGAGAUAGUGCAGCUGUACUCCAGCCUGGGCAACAGAGCGAGACUCUGUCUCAAAAAAAAAAAAAAAAAAAAAAA